This is a long non-coding RNA of Dromaius novaehollandiae (emu), 1142 nucleotides long. RefSeq lists it as uncharacterized. The transcript is spliced from 3 exons. The record is from RefSeq and is a predicted model, not a curated record. NCBI's taxonomy places the organism in Eukaryota, Metazoa, Chordata, Aves, Casuariiformes, Dromaiidae.
GCGGCUUUGUACCCGGCAGAAGUUGGUCGCCACAGUGUGUGAGCUCCUGGGAGUGCGUGAGGUGAGGUGAGGUGAGGUGGUAAUUGCCACCACGUGAGGCUGAAGCUGGAGUGUGGCAGGUUCUGGUGCGUGCCUGUGCAGUGGUGUUGCGUAGGUGAUAGUGGCUUUCCAGACUUGAACCUUUUCCCAGAGGGGUCACAGAAAUGAAAACGGGGUGGCAGCACCCUGGCUUUGUGCAGUGAACUACUGCUGCUUUGCCAUGGCCCAGGCCAGCAUUGUCCACAGGUUGCCACUGGCGUGUCGUCAAGAAGCCAAAUGGCUGGCUCAGGUGCGGCUUCUGAACCUGGCCGAAGAGUCCCGAUGGGAAGCAGCAUCAAUAGUGCUUUCGCUGGCAGAAGAAAACUGGAGCCUUAAGACUUAUGCAAUCAUCCUUUUGUGGAGAGAAAGCUGGGAUUCAGAGCUCCCUUGAUUUUCACAAGAAAUGCCUCUUUUGAUCUAUCUGAUAUAGAAAAAAAUAACACAAAUUGUAUGUGGGCAGAGUGUUCAUCAUGGAUAGCUGUGAAGACUUAAUCCCUGAUUAUCUGAGUAAGUAGUCCAUAAUUUUAGAACUUUGCUUUGUCCUUAACAUUAUAUGUCUAAUAAAAUCAAAGUACUAAGUCUGAAAUACCAAAUAAUUAUCUAUCAGCCAGGUGACUCAGUUAUAGAGUCUACCCAAAACAUAUGGACAGAUUUAAACUAAUUUCUUCCCUCUUGCAUACAAGUACAGAGUGCCUAAAUACAGACAUUUUUAAUUUAAAAUAUUUAAAUAAAAUAUAUUUAAAACACUGGAAGGAAUCAAAUUUAUGAACCUCUAUUUUAAGUGCUAAUAAUGUUCCUUCCUGAAAAAUGUAGACUCUGACCUUACAUAUUGUUAAAAUUCCUGUAGCUUCUAAAACCUUUGUAAAAACAUGCAUCAUGAUGAAACUUCAAACUUUAGAUAUGUAGCAGAGUCAGACUAAGAGUCUAAUCCAGGUGUAUUGGAUUCUGAAUAGCUGCCUUUAAAUAUUUCUUAAUACACAGGAGAGCAUAGGGCUGAAGGAGAUAAGAAGUGUGAUAAUAAAAUUCUUCAAACUUUUCUUGGACCAUGAGAAGGAAAUAAGAUU